Molecule: ribosomal RNA, 614 nt
Filed under: Hanseniaspora clermontiae
Lineage: Eukaryota; Fungi; Ascomycota; Saccharomycetes; Saccharomycodales; Saccharomycodaceae
Description: LSU rRNA
Rfam family: Eukaryotic large subunit ribosomal RNA
Source: RNAcentral
GCAUAUCAAUAAGCGGAGAAGCGGAUUCCUUAGUACGGCGAGUGAAGCGGUAAAAGCUCAAAUUUGAAAUCUGGUACUUUCAGUGCCCGAGUUGUAAUUUGUAGAAUUUGUCUUUGAUUAGGUCCUUGUCUAUGUUCCUUGGAACAGGACGUCAUAGAGGGUGAGAAUCCCGUUUGGCGAGGAUACCUUUUCUCUGUAAGACUUUUUCGAAGAGUCGAGUUGUUUGGGAAUGCAGCUCAAAGUGGGUGGUAAAUUCCAUCUAAAGCUAAAUAUUGGCGAGAGACCGAUAGCGAACAAGUACAGUGAUGGAAAGAUGAAAAGAACUUUGAAAAGAGAGUGAAAAAGUACGUGAAAUUGUUGAAAGGGAAGGGCAUUUGAUCAGACAUGGUGUUUUUUGCAUGCACUCGCCUCUCGUGGGCUUGGGCCUCUCAAAAAUUUCACUGGGCCAACAUCAAUUCUGGCAGCAGGAUAAAUCAUUAAGAAUGUAGCUACUUCGGUAGUGUUAUAGCUUUUUGGAAUACUGUUAGCCGGGAUUGAGGACUGCGCUUCGGCAAGGAUGUUGGCAUAAUGGUUGGGUGCCAGACCGCCUUCACAUGUAGGAAACUACGACAAAA